GCUAUUUAUGGACAGAAGUCUGUCUUGCGCCAUGGCAAGACGUGUAGGUCUGUGCAGCCCCAUCUCCGAACACCUCAUAAUCUGGAGCCAGCACUUCAUCUUCACGUGGAUAAAAAAACAUAUUCUUUAAUAGAAAUUCCUAAGAAGGUUCUGAUGUCAAAGAAGGAGGCCUCUCCAUUAAAAUAAGGAUCCACAGUCUCCAACAGACCCUAGUUUAUGCCUCCACUCUGGGGGUCAUCUUGUCUCAUGAAAUAUGAAGGGAGAGUAGUUUGUCUGGAGGAUGUGGGCCCAGGACUGGAAAACAUCACCCGUACUCUUCAAUGCCAAGUUGGGAUCAAAAGGUGAACUGUUGCAUCUAACAUGCAUGUUACCUACAAGUUGAACAAAGGACUGCAACGAAUCAUAAGACCGUGAGAAUGAGGAGUCAGUGUUAGCUGCUCUCCUGGUACCUCUUUUCUGUGCAAAUGACCCUGGACCUCCACCCUGCGAUCCAGAACUCCAGACUUGAAUUUACACCUGCAUCUUGGACACUUUCAGUCUUAAGGAAGUUCCAUGAAAAAUUUCUCAAGGAUAGAUCAUUUGCUUUGUGCAACUGGCCUCAUCCCUAGCAAGGCAUGUCAAGGAACUGUUUCGUUCUGGUGUUUUCCAUUUCUUCCUGCAUGGAGCUUGAAUUUAAUAACACAGUCUUCCUGCCAUCUUUGAAUCUGUGGUCAGGUUUCCCACUGUGAUCAGACACAUCUUGGAUGAAUCUGGAGCACCCCAGAGCCUGGGAACGGUGGAGGAGCCCUGUCAGACCAGAACUGAGUAUCAAUGAAUUGUCUUGAAGUCCUUCCCUCCCAAGAUUUCUCUGAGUAACCCUAACCCACUCUCUUCUAAGAGUAUGUGCCUUGAAUGAAUGGAAGAAAACGCCUUCUGUGUGGACUAGAUAAGAGUGCCCUCUUCUGAGCAGACAUGGCCCCUGGGGGCCACAGUUUUGACACAUGGACCACAUCUCUGUAUGAAGAAAAGGCCAGGCCUUGAGGUGACAUACACCACUUCUGCCCAGAUUCGGCUGGCUUGAACUCGGUCCUGUGACCACGCCCACCCGCAUGGGAGGCUGGGCAGGUACUCCAGGUGUGUUCCCAGGAAGAAGAGGAAAGAAGGUGUCAAAGGAAGCCUAAGGAGACAUGACAGCUAAACAUAAUGUAUUCUGGAUGGGAUUUUGGAACAGAAGGAGGACAGCAGGCAAAAACCUAAAGGAAUCUAAAUAAAGCAUGGACUUUGGUUAAUAAUAAGCAGGGAAGAUGGAGACCUGCAGAGCUGAGCCAUGGCCCAGAGGAGCCAUUACAGUGUGUCCAUGAGAGAAAAAGAGAGAAUGAGAGAGAGCACAAGCAGGGGG
Molecule: long non-coding RNA, 1378 nt
Organism: Ailuropoda melanoleuca (giant panda)
Lineage: Eukaryota; Metazoa; Chordata; Mammalia; Carnivora; Ursidae
Exons: 8
Source: RefSeq, a predicted model, not a curated record